UGGUUUGGUUACUGGUUAGUUGUUUACUUCUCUUUUUACUACGGAUUGAAAGUCAAAAGCACAAAAUAGCUAAUGCAAUUAUUGGGAAUUUGUCAUAUAUGUCCCAAAGACAUGGUGAUUAGAUUUUCAAUCUUUUCAUAUACUAUUCAAUCCCUCUUUAUCUUCCUUAAUUUCCUCUUCAUAACCGCAUCUUCAUCAUCCCAACACCAUAGUGAAACUAAUGAUGAUGCUCUGACAAGGCUCGCCUUCAACGGAGAUUCUAACUUCAUACACGGUUGAUAAAUACAAGAUGAUUAUAUUGAAGGCUUACAGCCUUACAGGUGAUUGAGGUUUGAAUUAUAAGCCAACUGAUAUUAUUAAGAGGCACAAGUGCAACUUCAAACUAUGAUUGAAGUGUUAGCGACCGAGCUAUGGGAUGGAACAAGUUGAGGCAUUUGGUUGAAAUGAAGUUGGUGGAUCAUACACGGAGUCAGACACAUGAAGUAGUCUUCUUUUUCCAUUCCAUUCAUUGUAAAUCAUUGCAUUCUUGAAAUGAAGUUUGGAAUAUUCUAUUGGUCAUUUAGUUAACAAGGGAGCCUGUUACCAAUUUUUAACCUUCCUUUCCUUACCUCCAUCUAUCAUUGAAAGUGUUGGCGCUCGCUGCUAAUGCAGCAAGGGACAACGACGGAACAGGAUUAGUACAAUGUCAAAUUCAGUGAGCUCUGUGAUGUGACAAUUCCUGUUGCGGCGGAGUUGUACAAAAGGAUUUACACCUAGGUACUAGCUUUUUUUAAGAAUUUGUUUUAGUUUUGAAGUUCAUAUAAUAAAUGUAUAAGCUUGAAUUUGAGCAUUCUGGUUUGAAAUCUUAAUGCCAAAUUGUUGAAGAUUGUUUACAGUGAUUAUUCUU
Chenopodium quinoa (quinoa) is the source of this 886-nucleotide long non-coding RNA. RefSeq lists it as uncharacterized. The transcript has 3 exons. Lineage: Eukaryota; Viridiplantae; Streptophyta; Magnoliopsida; Caryophyllales; Amaranthaceae. The record is from RefSeq and is a predicted model, not a curated record.